CACACACUCUACAACCCUGCCUCAGAUGCCUUUCCCUAGUGAAACAAGGCACUCCAGAUAACAGCCUCUCCAACGUCGGAGAUUAAAGAAUUGAAGGACCGGCAGAAACCACUCAGCGUCUAACUUCUAACUCAGGCUUCAGAACCCGCCCAGCCACAGAGCUACUGCAAACGCGCUUGCGCCCUCUGGCCGGCUCAGUCCCCAAAGUUCGCCUCGCGCUCCGAUUGGCUGCUUUCCGCACCAGCCCAGGCGCCACGUGAUCCACUGGCCACCGCGUGAUUGGUUGUUCCUCUCGCUGGGGCUGCCGGCCCUGCCGCGAGGAGCAGGAGUCUGGAAAGCGGCAAGUGGCUUCCUCCCGCAGUGUACAGCACGGGGUGGGCUGCCGUGAGCCUCAGCAGACCCGGGCAGGCCUCGUAAGAAUGUAGGACGUAAGCGUUUUGGGAGGUUCGGAAAGCGGACUGCAGAGCCCCUGCCUGCAGCUCUGAUUUGCGCCCUGGCUCCGGCCUUACUUGUGUUUCGCCCACAAGAAUGACUUCCUUCAGUCUUUCCUGAAGUUGGUGAGGUUUGGACGUAUUAGUAGCGUUAGUAGUAUUGUUAUUUUUCUUAUUAUCAUCAUCAUUUGAGAGUCCACUGCAUAUAAGCAUUGGUGGUCCUGCGCAGGGCGCCAUGCAGAAAGCCUUGAGUUAGAAGCUGGAGGAAGGAGGGCUUAUAGAUGCUUGCGGAACGUCCUUAAACCAGCAUGAAAUGUUGGAGGUUGAGGUGAAAAAUACUGUUUUGAUAAUCUUCAUGGAAGACUGCAUUAUUUCAUCCCUGAAUCUGGUUCAGUUCCCUUAUUGACUGAUUACUGUGUUAAAAUGCUUGUUUAGCAGUGAUUGUAAAAUAAAAGUAAUUAACAUGUACAUGCUCUCUUGGGGCAGACUAAGGGAAAACAGGUGUUCAGCUUGGAAAAAUGUUGCUCAUUGGAUUUCCCAUUAAGUCAGUAUGUCUUGGGUUUAACUUUUAAACAAAUUAAAAAAUUAAAUAUUUUAAAAUCUA
This is a long non-coding RNA of Bubalus bubalis (water buffalo), 1035 nucleotides long. RefSeq lists it as uncharacterized. The transcript has 2 exons. Lineage: Eukaryota; Metazoa; Chordata; Mammalia; Artiodactyla; Bovidae. The record is from RefSeq and is a predicted model, not a curated record.